RNA transcript from Eucalyptus grandis, 4481 nucleotides. RefSeq lists it as uncharacterized. The record is from RefSeq and is a predicted model, not a curated record. Lineage: Eukaryota; Viridiplantae; Streptophyta; Magnoliopsida; Myrtales; Myrtaceae. The transcript is spliced from 10 exons.
ACGGUGCUUCCGGCGAGAAAUAGGUAAAUUAAAGGCACUAGAGCAACUCCUUCUACGAGAUACUCGAUCCCUUUCUGCAUUACCAGAUAGCAUAGGAUCUUUGGAGAACCUAGAGAUUCUAGAGAUUUCUCAAAGUCAUAUAAGAGAAUUACCCAAUAGUAUUGGGAGGUUGAGAAAACUCCGAGAGCUACAUGCUUGCUAUUGCAUAAAUUUGAAUGGGGAAAUGGCAGAAAGCAUGUGCAAUCUUUCUUCCUUACGACACCUUGAUUUUCUUUGCUGCUUCAAGCUCCAAUCGCUGUCGGACCUUCCUUCUAGCUUAACAAAUUUGGGCAUCACCUGUCGAACCCGGAAAUUGCCUAGGCUUUCCCACCUAACCCAUCUCAAGGAACUACGAGUUUAUUCCUGCAAUUCUCUCGAGUGCAUCCAAGUGCUUCCAUCAACAUGCUCCCAAUCGACGGACCUUGAAGAAUCGAAAUCACCACAAUCCCUUAACACGCCUUUCAAAUUGGAAAUCUUAAAAGUCAGGGGCUGUUAUUCUAUCAAAACAGUGGAUGUUUCACAGUUUAUCCAUCUAAUGAUAUUAUACGUCGAACAGUGUCAUAAUCUACUUGAAGUUCAAGGUCUUGACAAAUCGAUAUAUUUGGAAAGCUUGACUGUCACAUAUUGCAAUUCAAUCGAACGGUUGGACCUUCGAAAGUUUGAGGAUAUGAAGAAAUUGAAUGUUGAAGGCUGUGACAAAUUAGCUGAAAUUCAAGACCUUGAUAGGUCGGAGUAUUUGGAAAGUUCCAAAUUGUGCACUUCAACUGAAAGGCUAGACCUUCCAAAAUGCAGGAGGCUGAAGGAAGUAAACACUAGACACUGCAAAAACUUAGCCAAAAUUGAAGGCCUCGAUGGGUUGGAGUAUUUGGAAAGGCUAGAUAUCUACCAGUGCACUUUAAUUGAAAGACUAGACCUUCCAAAAUUCGGGAGGCUGAAGGAAUUAGAUGCCGAAGAAUGCGAAAAAUUAGUCGAAAUUCAAGGCCUCGAUGGGUUGGAGUAUUUGGAAAGGCUAAAUAUCGAAGGGUGCACUUUAAUUGAAAGGCUAGACCUUCCAAAAUCUGGAAGGCUGAAGGAAUUAAAACUUAAAGGCUGCGUAAACUUAGCCGAAAUUCAAGGCCUCAAUAGGUCAGAGUAUUUGCAAAUGCUACAUAUCCGUUGGUGCACUUCAAUAGAAAGGCUAGACCUUCUAAAAUUCAGGAGGCUGAAGGAAUUAAUUGCUGAAGGCUGCGAAAACUUAGCCGAAAUUCAAGGUCUCGAUAGGUCGGAGUAUUUGGAGAGGCUAGACAUCACAUGGUGCACUUCAAUGGGAAGGCUAGACCUUUCAAAAUCCGGGAAGCUGAAGGAAUUAAAAGUUGGAGGCUGCAAAAACUUAGUCGAAAUUCAAGGUCUCGAUAGGUCAGAGUAUUUGGAAAGUCUAGAUAUCAUAGGGUGUACUUCAAUUGAAAGGCUAGACCUUCCAAAAUCCGGGAGUCUAAAGAAAUUAACAGCUGGAGGCUGCAAAAACUUAGCCGAAAUUCAAGGCCUUGAUAGGUCGGAGUUUUUGGAAAGACUAGAUAUCUCUAAGUGCACUUCAAUUGGAAGGCUAGACCUUCCAAAAUCUGGAAGCUUGAAGAUAUUAAAUGCUUGUUCAUGCAAGAAAUUAGCCGAAAUUCAAAGCCUCGAGAGGUUGGAGUACUUGGAAAUAUUGGAUAUCUCUAGGUGCACUUCAAUUGAAAGGUUGCUCCUUCCAAAAUCUAGGAGUCUGAAGAAAUUAAAAGCUAGAGACUGCGAAAACUUGAUUGAAAUUCAAGGUCUCGAUAGGUUGGAGUUUUUGGAAGAAUUGAAUAUCAUUGGAUGCAAGUCGCUCAAAACAAUUCCAGAAUUAUCUGGAAUGCGGAUUUAUCGAUAUCAUGAGAUUACAGAUGGCAAAACAAGAGCAUUAGGAUUAGACUAUAUGGAUGACUCGGAUGAGUGAUAUACUGAAAUGAUCCACAUUUUCUAGUGAAGGUACAUAAAGCAGGAAUCCAAGGGAGAUGUUUUGCUUAUCAUGCCGGUAAUGGAAAUAGAUAAAAAGGCUUUCUAAGCGCAUCAUUUGUCAUUAAUCUUGGGGGUAUUGGAUAGCAUGCUAAACGUCAUUAUGUAGGUCGAGAAAUGCUGAGUGAAGAACCUAUAUGGCCAUCCUUCUAAUGUGAGGUUUUAGUUGGCUCUACACUCACCAUGCAGUUCAUGACUGCAUAUUUCUAAGGCCACUGGUUGAUGUGAGUGCUGAAAUAUCCAAGAGAGUUUUCGCAAGGCACUUCUAAAAGGAAACAAAAUCAUCAAAGGAUGAGGUGCUUGAUGUAUCUUAAACUUCUCCAGAUUCUGACAAUGCAUCCUUGGAAUGGUAAACGUUUAACAUCAUUAUGCUAAGGUCCUGAUGGCAAGGUUGCUGUCUUCGGACUUAAAGAUAGUGCAGUUUCACUGCAUGAUGUAGAAGUAAGUUUUCCAUGCUAUUAUUGUAACGUUACCCUCAUUACUUCUCAACCAUAAAUUCCUUCUGCAAGAAUCCUUUAUCAUCAUAAUGUGUUCUUCUCUUAUCUCUCUUGAGAAAUAUUCUGAAUUGCUCAAAAGCUGCGCGAUGCAAUGCAAACAUCAAGCUUGCUGAAUGAACAUUUAGCUGCUAAUAGAGAUGGCAAUCCAUGUUUACUGGCCAUGUUUGGCAAUGUCGAGUUAAUACGGACUAUUAGAUAGGCCAAUAUGAGCAGGAUAAGCUUAACAAAUCUUAUUAGAUCAUUGAACAUGGCCCAUUUGUUAAAUAGGUCAGCAAAUGAGAAGAGAUGAAUAGCCUUAAUGAAUUGUUUGUUACACAUGUCAUACAUAAGUAAUAGAUUCAAUAGAUUUAUACACUUUAGGACUUGAAUCUAAUUGAUGUGCUGCAUUCUCAUGUCGGAUAGGACUGAUGUUGUCAUUGAUGAUUGAAAAUGCUUCAAAUGUCAAUGACAAAUUUCUGCAUAGCGUUUGCAGAGGUCGAGCUGAUUGUGAGGAUUUACACUCUAAGCGGAUGGUGUCAAUAGAAACCAUCAUCUAUGACAUGCUCAUUUUCAUCAAAAUAAUAGUUUAUUUUGACUAUUGAAACUCAAAUAUGUUCAGUUCAGUCAAAUUAAAAGGUUGUGGUUUAGGUGACUUCUAAAUGAUAGAAUUUGUAUGUGCUUUAAUUAUGCUUGUGGGUUGAAAAGUUCAUAGAUAACUGCUUAUGUCAUUAAGCUAUAGCUGUUUGGUCAUGAGUACAAUGGCUGCGAAUUUGGUUGAUGCUGUUACAUUUCUUUCUUUGAGAAUUCUACAAAUUUAUUAACCAUCAUCCAUCUCAUGGACUGCGUUUUACUUGGAAGAGGGUUUGUUUUUACAUAAUAUAUAAUGAAUGUUAUCUUCCGAUCUGGCUUUCUUUAAUUAACUAUGGAUAUGUGGUGUGCUACUUUUUAUAUGCUAGUGCUUGCAGUAGUUAUACAUGCUGUGUUAUAAUAGUUUCUAACAAGGGAUAAAUAUUAAGCAAAACGAGAAACUGUUAUGAGGCUUGAAGUCCUAUGCGGCAGCUGUGUUGUGUCUCAACUGGGAGGAAGAUGCCCAAAUGAACAGAUCCAACAGCUAGUAUGGGUUUAUGGAAGAUUUUCUAAAUCAUCAAAGGAUCAGGAGCUCGAUGUUUCUUGGACUUCUCCAACACUGACAAUGUAUCCUUCGAAUGAUGUGGAUCUUCAUGCUAGAAGGAAGCAAUUCGAUGCUUGCCAGCUAAAGUUUGUGGGGUUGAUAAGAGGUUCUUACUAUGGGAAGCUGUUGUCAGAGUUGGCUUGGAACAGAAUGGAAACUGUUAAGAAGAUUGAAGUCCCAUGUGGCAGUUCUGUGGUGUGUCUCAAUUUGGAGGAGGAUGCCCAAGUGAAUAGAUAGGACACUUCUGGCAACUCUCUGACAUUUGAAGAUCGCACUACUCAAUUUCUUCCAUCCAGCUCCAAGAGUUCCUCGCAUGCCGGGCGUAGCACCUGGAAACUGGUUUAACUGACGAUGGUCAAGAUUCAUUCGUAGAGCUCUCAAAUUCUUCCAAGCAAUGUUUGAAUAUGCUUUGCAGUCGAGAUAAAGAUGGGGCUUUGUGCUUUAGUAUAUUUGGUGUCUUUCCAAUCAGAAAUGUUGCCGAAAGAAGGUCGACUCCCGGGGACGACCAUGACUCGACCGUGGUAGACUUCCUGUGCUCGCUUGGAUUCCCAUCAAGACUUGUCCUAGAGAUUUCCAAGGGCGGACAUCACCGUCAUUAUGCCUGAUUCUAGAAGUCUCCUUUCAUUAAUGUCGGUAGCUAGUAGUUAAACAUUUAUGUCGGUAGUUGAGACGGUGCGAUCUCAUCCGCCGGUUAAAUUCUAGAUCAAUGGUUGUAACCCGAGGCCCUCGACUAUAAGAAAUGGUGUCAUUCCUCAUUUGUAAGCAUCCACUACUUCCGCAAU